This 221-nucleotide unclassified non-coding RNA is filed under the name Glomus sp. Its description in RNAcentral is "partial contains 5.8S ribosomal RNA and internal transcribed spacer 2". The stretch from base 1 to 65 matches the Rfam family "5.8S ribosomal RNA", at positions 84 to 154 of the family's 154-position model. Lineage: Eukaryota; Fungi; Glomeromycota; Glomeromycetes; Glomerales; Glomeraceae. The record is from RNAcentral.
GUGAAUCAUCAAAUUUUUGAACGCAAAUUGCACUCUCUUCGGAGAGUAUGCCUGUUUGAGGGUCAGCCUAAAAAAAAUCGACAUAGUUGCUGUUACGCGGUAACAUUCGUCGGAAAUUGGGUCAUCUUAAACCUUUGGGUUUAAGCGCCUUAAAAUUUCUUUUACGAUUCCAGGACGGUUUCUAAGAUUUUAUUUCUUUAUACGUUUAAGGAACGGUUCUU